GCAGGCCUAACACAUGCAAGUCGAGCGGUAGAGAGAAGCUUGCUUCUCUUGAGAGCGGCGGACGGGUGAGUAAUGCCUAGGAAUCUGCCUGGUAGUGGGGGAUAACGUUCGGAAACGGACGCUAAUACCGCAUACGUCCUACGGGAGAAAGCAGGGGACCUUCGGGCCUUGCGCUAUCAGAUGAGCCUAGGUCGGAUUAGCUAGUUGGUGAGGUAAUGGCUCACCAAGGCGACGAUCCGUAACUGGUCUGAGAGGAUGAUCAGUCACACUGGAACUGAGACACGGUCCAGACUCCUACGGGAGGCAGCAGUGGGGAAUAUUGGACAAUGGGCGAAAGCCUGAUCCAGCCAUGCCGCGUGUGUGAAGAAGGUCUUCGGAUUGUAAAGCACUUUAAGUUGGGAGGA
This 404-nucleotide ribosomal RNA is filed under the name gamma proteobacterium BAL111. RNAcentral's name for it is "bacterial SSU rRNA". It matches the Rfam family "Bacterial small subunit ribosomal RNA", at positions 42 to 448 of the family's 1533-position model. Lineage: Bacteria; Pseudomonadati; Pseudomonadota; Gammaproteobacteria. The record is from RNAcentral.